GACGAACGCUGGCGGCGUGCCUAAUACAUGCAAGUUGAGCGCUGAAGGUUGGUACUUGUACCAACUGGAUGAGCAGCGAACGGGUGAGUAACGCGUGGGGAAUCUGCCUUUGAGCGGGGGACAACAUUUGGAAACGAAUGCUAAUACCGCAUAAAAACUUUAAACACAAGUUUUAAGUUUGAAAGAUGCAAUUGCAUCACUCAAAGAUGAUCCCGCGUUGUAUUAGCUAGUUGGUGAGGUAAAGGCUCACCAAGGCGAUGAUACAUAGCCGACCUGAGAGGGGGACUGCCCAAAUUGGGACUGAGACACGGCCCAAACUCCGCCGGGAGGAAGCGUUAGGGAAUCUUCGGAAAUGGAGGAAAGUCUGACGGAGCAACGCCGCGGGAGGGAAGAGGUUUUUCGGAACGUAAAACUCUGUUGGGAGAGAAAAACGUUUGUGGAAGUGAAAGGCCAAACAAGGAACGGAACUUACCAAAAAAGGGGCGGUAAAUUACGU
RNAcentral lists this ribosomal RNA (496 nucleotides) under uncultured bacterium. RNAcentral describes it as "partial 16S ribosomal RNA". It matches the Rfam family "Bacterial small subunit ribosomal RNA", at positions 28 to 506 of the family's 1533-position model. The record is from RNAcentral.